RNAcentral lists this ribosomal RNA (374 nucleotides) under uncultured eukaryote. RNAcentral describes it as "SSU rRNA". It matches the Rfam family "Eukaryotic small subunit ribosomal RNA", at positions 587 to 969 of the family's 1831-position model. The record is from RNAcentral.
AGCUCCAAUAGCGUAUAUUUAAGUUGUUGCAGUUAAAAAGCUCGUAGUUGGAUUUCGGAGUCGGGCGACCGGUCCGCCGUUUCGGUGUGCACUGGUCCGACCCGUCUUUUUCUGUCGGGGACGCGCGCUCCUUCAUUGGGGACGCGGAGUCGGCGCUGUUACUUUGAAAAAAUUAGAGUGUUCAAGGCAGGCUUACGCUCUGAAUACUAUAGCAUGGAAUAACGCGAUAGGACUCCGGGCCUAUUUCGUUGGUCUUCGGGACCGGAGUAAUGAUUAAGAGGGACAGUUGGGGGCAUUUGCAUUCCGGUGUCAGAGGUGAAAUUCUUGGAUUUCCGGAAGACAAACUUCUGCGAAAGCAUUUGCCAAGGAUGUUU